CAGGCUUAACACAUGCAAGUCGAGGGGCAGCAUGGUCUUAGCUUGCUAAGGCCGAUGGCGACCGGCGCACGGGUGAGUAACACGUAUCCAACCUGCCGUCUACUCUUGGACAGCCUUCUGAAAGGAAGAUUAAUACAAGAUGGCAUCAUGAGUCCGCAUGUUCACAUGAUUAAAGGUAUUCCGGUAGACGAUGGGGAUGCGUUCCAUUAGAUAGUAGGCGGGGUAACGGCCCACCUAGUCUUCGAUGGAUAGGGGUUCUGAGAGGAAGGUCCCCCACAUUGGAACUGAGACACGGUCCAAACUCCUACGGGAGGCAGCAGUGAGGAAUAUUGGUCAAUGGGCGAGAGCCUGAACCAGCCAAGUAGCGUGAAGGAUGACUGCCCUAUGGGUUGUAAACUUCUUUUAUAAAGGAAUAAAGUCGGGUAUGUAUACCCGUUUGCAUGUACUUUAUGAAUAAGGAUCGGCUAACUCCGUGCCAGCAGCCGCGGUAAUACGGAGGAUCCGAGCGUUAUCCGGAUUUAUUGGGUUUAAAGGGAGCGUAGAUGGAUGUUUAAGUCAGUUGUGAAAGUUUGCGGCUCAACCGUAAAAUUGCAGUUGAUACUGGAUAUCUUGAGUGCAGUUGAGGCAGGCGGAAUUCGUGGUGUAGCGGUGAAAUGCUUAGAUAUCACGAAGAA
Molecule: ribosomal RNA, 674 nt
Filed under: uncultured bacterium
Lineage: Bacteria
Description: bacterial SSU rRNA
Rfam family: Bacterial small subunit ribosomal RNA
Source: RNAcentral